AUUGAACGCUGGCGGCAGGCCUAACACAUGCAAGUCGAGCGGAUGAAGGGAGCUUGCUCCUGGAUUCAGCGGCGGACGGGUGAGUAAUGCCUAGGAAUCUGCCUGGUAGUGGGGGAUAACGUCCGGAAACGGGCGCUAAUACCGCAUACGUCCUGAGGGAGAAAGUGGGGGAUCUUCGGACCUCACGCUAUCAGAUGAGCCUAGGUCGGAUUAGCUAGUUGGUGGGGUAAAGGCCUACCAAGGCGACGAUCCGUAAAUGGUCUGAGAGGAUGAUCAGUCACACUGGAACUGAGACACGGUCCAGACUCCUACGGGAGGCAGCAGUGGGGAAUAUUGGACAAUGGGCGAAAGCCUGAUCCAGCCAUGCCGCGUGUGUGAAGAAGGUCUUCGGAUUGUAAAGCACUUUAAGUUGGGAGGAAGGGCAGUAAGUUAAUACCUUGCUGUUUUGACGUUACCAACAGAAUAAGCACCGGCUAACUUCGUG
RNAcentral lists this ribosomal RNA (484 nucleotides) under uncultured bacterium. RNAcentral describes it as "partial 16S ribosomal RNA". It matches the Rfam family "Bacterial small subunit ribosomal RNA", at positions 30 to 507 of the family's 1533-position model. The record is from RNAcentral.